This 484-nucleotide ribosomal RNA is filed under the name uncultured bacterium. Its description in RNAcentral is "partial 16S ribosomal RNA". It matches the Rfam family "Bacterial small subunit ribosomal RNA", at positions 30 to 507 of the family's 1533-position model. The record is from RNAcentral.
AUUGAACGCUGGCGGCAGGCCUAACACAUGCAAGUCGAGCGGAUGAAGGGAGCUUGCUCCUGGAUUCAGCGGCGGACGGGUGAGUAAUGCCUAGGAAUCUGCCAGGUAGUGGGGGAUAACGUCCGGAAACGGGCGCUAAUACCGCAUACGUCCUGAGGGAGAAAGUGGGGGAUCUUCGGACCUCACGCUAUCAGAUGAGCCUAGGUCAGAUUAGCUAGUUGGUGGGGUAAAGGCCUACCAAGGCGACGAUCCGUAACUGGUCUGAGAGGAUGAUCAGUCACACUGGAACUGAGACACGGUCCAGACUCCUACGGGAGGCAGCAGUGGGGAAUAUUGGACAAUGGGCGAAAGCCUGAUCCAGCCAUGCCGCGUGUGUGAAGAAGGUCUUCGGAUUGUAAAGCACUUUAAGUUGGGAGGAAGGGCAGUAAGUUAAUACCUUGCUGUUUUGACGUUACCAACAGAAUAAGCACCGGCUAACUUCGUG